Pistacia vera is the source of this 425-nucleotide long non-coding RNA. RefSeq lists it as uncharacterized. NCBI's taxonomy places the organism in Eukaryota, Viridiplantae, Streptophyta, Magnoliopsida, Sapindales, Anacardiaceae. The record is from RefSeq and is a predicted model, not a curated record. The transcript has 3 exons.
AAAAUGGCACGGGCGUUAUUCAUUGAGAAUCCGAAGUCAUUUUGUUUUGUCAGAAGUUGUCCACAGAUAACAAAAACCUUGGCUUCCAACAUACACAUCCAACGUUUUAUCCAACAAAAUAAUGGCGGUGCUAGUUCGUUUUUCAUGCUUCUUUACACGGCCAAGCUGCCUCCCAUCUCCACCGUCUGAUCAUUUCUCCGACAAACCCCACGUGGCCGGGAAGUUGGUUUCUCUUCUUUCAAAGAGAAAAAGUUUGCAUCAGUUUUAGGAAAGUGCUUCCAGAGUUAUUCAUCAAAGAUUUGAUGGACACCAUGAUUUGGAAGGAAGUCAGGAUUUCAGUAAAAUGCCACACCAAGUGACAAUUUUGUGGACAAAUUAUCAGCAGAUCAGCAAGGAAAGGGCUACUGAAAUCAACGGCAAGACAU